AUUGAACGCUGGCGGAAUGCUUUACACAUGCAAGUCGAACGGCAGCACGGGGCAACCUGGUGGCGAGUGGCGAACGGGUGAGUAAUACAUCGGAACGUGCCCAAUCGUGGGGGAUAACGUAGCGAAAGUUACGCUAAUACCGCAUACGAUCUACGGAUGAAAGCGGGGGAUCGCAAGACCUCGCGCGAAUGGAGCGGCCGAUGUCAGAUUAGGUAGUUGGUGGGGUAAAGGCUUACCAAGCCCGCGAUCUGUAGCUGGUCUGAGAGGAUGAUCAGCCACACUGGGACUGAGACACGGCCCAGACUCCUACGGGAGGCAGCAGUGGGGAAUUUUGGACAAUGGGCGAAAGCCUGAUCCAGCCAUUCCGCGUGCAGGAUGAAGGCCCUCGGGUUGUAAACCUCUUUUGUACGGGUAAGAAGGAAGUGACGGUACUGUACGAAUAAGUCCCGGCUAACUACGUG
This 461-nucleotide ribosomal RNA is filed under the name uncultured bacterium. Its description in RNAcentral is "bacterial SSU rRNA". It matches the Rfam family "Bacterial small subunit ribosomal RNA", at positions 30 to 507 of the family's 1533-position model. The record is from RNAcentral.